AGGAAUAUCACGCAGUUUGGUAGCAUGUUUGUUUUGGAUAUAAAAUAUCACGGGUUCAAAUCAUGUCAUCCCUA
RNAcentral lists this transfer RNA (74 nucleotides) under Ricinus communis (castor bean). It matches the Rfam family "tRNA". From Rfam's summary of the family: Transfer RNA (tRNA) molecules are approximately 80 nucleotides in length. Their secondary structure includes four short double-helical elements and three loops (D, anti-codon, and T loops). Further hydrogen bonds mediate the characteristic L-shaped molecular structure. tRNAs have two regions of fundamental functional importance: the anti-codon, which is responsible for specific mRNA codon recognition, and the 3' end, to which the tRNAs corresponding amino acid is attached (by aminoacyl-tRNA synthetases). tRNAs cope with the degeneracy of the genetic code in two manners: having more than one tRNA (with a specific anti-codon) for a particular amino acid; and 'wobble' base-pairing, i.e. permitting non-standard base-pairing at the 3rd anti-codon position. Lineage: Eukaryota; Viridiplantae; Streptophyta; Magnoliopsida; Malpighiales; Euphorbiaceae. The record is from Rfam by way of RNAcentral.